GACGAACGCUGGCGGCGUGCCUAAUACAUGCAAGUUGAGCGCUGAAGGUUGGUACUUGUCCCAACUGGAUGAGCAGCGAACGGGUGAGUAACGCGUGGGGAAUCUGCCUUUGAGCGGGGGACAACAUUUGGAAACGAAUGCUAAUACCGCAUAAAAACUUUAAACACAAGUUUUAAGUUUGAAAGAUGCAAUUGCAUCACUCAAAGAUGAUCCCGCGUUGUAUUAGCUAGUUGGUGAGGUAGAGGCUCACCAAGGCGAUGAUACAUAGCCGACCUGAGAGGGUGAUCGGCCACAUUGGGACUGAGACACGGCCCAAACGCCUACGGGAGGCAGCAGUAGGGAAUCUUCGGCAAUGGACGAAAGUCUGACCGAGCAACGCCGCGUGAGUGAAGAAGGUUUUCGGAUCGUAAAACUCUGUUGGUAGAGAAGAACGUUGGUGAGAGUGGAAAGCUCAUCAAGUGACGGUAACUACCCAGAAAGGGACGGCUAACUACGUG
RNAcentral lists this ribosomal RNA (497 nucleotides) under uncultured bacterium. Its description in RNAcentral is "partial 16S ribosomal RNA". It matches the Rfam family "Bacterial small subunit ribosomal RNA", at positions 28 to 507 of the family's 1533-position model. The record is from RNAcentral.